GACGAACGCUGGCGGCGUGCCUAAUACAUGCAAGUCGAGCGAAUCAAUAGGAGCUUGCUCCUGUUGAUUAGCGGCGGACGGGUGAGUAACACGUGGGCAACCUGCCUGUAAGACUGGGAUAACUUCGGGAAACCGGAGCUAAUACCGGAUAAUUCUUUUCCUCUCAUGAGGAAAAGCUGAAAGUCGGUUUCGGCUGACACUUACAGAUGGGCCCGCGGCGCUUUAGCUAGUUGGUGAGGUAACGGCUCACCAAGGCGACGAUGCGUAGCCGACCUGAGAGGGUGAUCGGCCACACUGGGACUGAGAAACGGCCCAGACUCCUACGGGAGGCAGCAGUAGGGAAUCUUCCGCAAUGGACGAAAGUCUGACGGAGCAACGCCGCGUGAGCGAUGAAGGCCUUCGGGUCGUAAAGCUCUGUUGUUAGGGAAGAACAAGUAUCGGAGUAACUGCCGGUACCUUGACGGUACCUAACCAGAAAGCCACGGCUAACUACGUGCCAGCAGCCGCGGUAA
This 512-nucleotide ribosomal RNA is filed under the name uncultured bacterium. RNAcentral's name for it is "partial 16S ribosomal RNA". It matches the Rfam family "Bacterial small subunit ribosomal RNA", at positions 28 to 523 of the family's 1533-position model. The record is from RNAcentral.